UGCAAGUCGAACGGUAACAUAGAUUGCUUGCAAUCUGAUGACGAGUGGCGCACGGGUGCGUAACGCGUAUGCAAUCUACCUUUUACAGGAGAAUAGCCCAGAGAAAUUUGGAAUAAUGCUCCAUAAUAUCAUGUAUCAGCAUUGAUUUAUGAUUAAAGCUCCGGCGGUAAAAGAUGAGCAUGCGUUCUAUUAGCUAGUAGGUGAGGUAACGGCUCACCUAGGCUACGAUAGAUAGGGGCCCUGAGAGGGGGAUCCCCCACACUGGUACUGAGACACGGACCAGACUCCUACGGGAGGCAGCAGUGAGGAAUAUUGGACAAUGGAGGAAACUCUGAUCCAGCCAUGCCGCGUGCAGGAUGACUGCCCUAUGGGUUGUAAACUGCUUUUAUAUAGGAAGAAACACUCCCACGUGUGGGGGCUUGACGGUACUAUAUGAAUAAGGAUCGGCUAACUCCGUGCCAGCAGCCGCGGUAAUACGGAGGACCCAAGCGUUAUCCGGAAUCAUUGGGUUUAAAGGGUCCGCAGGCGGCCUGUUAAGUCAGAGGUGAAAUCCUACAGCUCAACUGUAGAACUGCCUUUGAUACUGAUAGGCUUGAGUUAUUGUGAAGUGGUUAGAAUGUGUGGUGUAGCGGUGAAAUGCUUAGAUAUCACACAGAAUACCCAUUGCGAAGGCAGAUCACUAACAAUAUACUGACGCUCAUGGACGAAAGCGUGGGGAGCGAACAGGAUUAGAUACCCUGGUAGUCCACGCCGUAAACGA
Molecule: ribosomal RNA, 760 nt
Filed under: uncultured Bacteroidota bacterium
Lineage: Bacteria; Pseudomonadati; Bacteroidota
Description: bacterial SSU rRNA
Rfam family: Bacterial small subunit ribosomal RNA
Source: RNAcentral